This 253-nucleotide ribosomal RNA is filed under the name uncultured bacterium. Its description in RNAcentral is "partial 16S ribosomal RNA". It matches the Rfam family "Bacterial small subunit ribosomal RNA", at positions 524 to 776 of the family's 1533-position model. The record is from RNAcentral.
UACGUAGGCAGCGAGCGUUGUUCGGAGUUACUGGGCGUAAAGCGUGCGUAGGCGGUUGUCUAAGUUUGGUGUGAAAUCUCCCGGCUUAACUGGGAGGGUGCGCCGAAAGCUGGGUGACUGGAGUGUCGGAGAGGUAAGCGGAAUUCCUGGUGUAGCGGUGAAAUGCGUAGAGAUCAGGAGGAACACCUGUGGUGUAGACAGCUUACUGGACGAUAACUGACGCUGAGGCACGAAAGCGUGGGUAGCAAACAGG